UACGGGGGGGGCAAGCGUUGUUCGGAAUUACUGGGCGUAAAGGGCUCGUAGGCGGCCAACUAAGUCAGACGUGAAAUCCCUCGGCUUAACCGGGGAACUGCGUCUGAUACUGGAUGGCUUGAGUUUGGGAGAGGGAUGCGGAAUUCCAGGUGUAGCGGUGAAAUGCGUAGAUAUCUGGAGGAACACCGGUGGCGAAGGCGGGUCUCUGGACAGUUCCUGACGCUGAGGCACGAAGGUCAGGGGAGCAAACGGG
Molecule: ribosomal RNA, 253 nt
Filed under: uncultured bacterium
Lineage: Bacteria
Description: partial 16S ribosomal RNA
Rfam family: Bacterial small subunit ribosomal RNA
Source: RNAcentral